CAAAAAACAUCAAAAAAUUAAGGAUUAACCACCACCGGCUGUCCAACGCCAAGAUCAAGGGGAAAAACAACACCUUAACCCACACGACUCUUCCAAUCAUUAAAGCUGGGGGACAAACUAGGAUUAGAUACCCUACUAUGCCCAGCCGCAACAAGGCAGCAACAAAACACCAACUGCCCGCCCGAUUAGUACAAGCGAAAGCUUGAAACUCAAAGGACCUGACGGUGACCCACAUCUGUCUAGAGGAGCCUGUUUCGUAAUCGAUAACCCCCGCUUAACCUCACCACUCCUAGCCAAUCAGCCUAUCUACCGCCGUCGUCAGCCCACCCUGUGAAGGCACCAAAGUGGGCACAACAGUUGAUACACUAAAACGACAGGUCAAAGCGUAGCACAUGAAGUGGAGAAAAAUGGGCUACAUUUUCUAUAAAGAACACACGGAAGGACGAAAUGAAAAAGCGCCUGAAGGCGGAUUUAGCAGUAAGACCGGAUAAAAUACCCGCCUGAACCAAGCACUGGGACGCGUACACACCGCCCGUCACCCCCACUCCCCAACCGCCACACCUCCCUAUACCAAAAGGAAACCCAAGGUGGGGUAAGNCGUAACNUGGUAAGCGUACUGGAAAGUGCGCUUGAACA
This 636-nucleotide ribosomal RNA is filed under the name Epictia goudotii. RNAcentral's name for it is "partial 12S ribosomal RNA". It matches the Rfam family "Bacterial small subunit ribosomal RNA", at positions 682 to 1522 of the family's 1533-position model. The record is from RNAcentral. Lineage: Eukaryota; Metazoa; Chordata; Lepidosauria; Squamata; Leptotyphlopidae.